Molecule: ribosomal RNA, 253 nt
Filed under: uncultured bacterium
Lineage: Bacteria
Description: partial 16S ribosomal RNA
Rfam family: Bacterial small subunit ribosomal RNA
Source: RNAcentral
UACAGAGGUCUCAAGCGUUGUUCGGAUUCAUUGGGCGUAAAGGGUGCGUAGGUGGCGCCGUAAGUCGGAUGUGAAAUCUCGGGGCUCAACCCUGAAACUGCAUUCGAUACUGCGGUGCUAGAGGACUCUAGAGGAAACUGGAAUUCACGGUGUAGCAGUGAAAUGCGUAGAUAUCGUGAGGAAGACCAGUGGCGAAGGCGGGUUUCUGGAGAGUUCCUGACGCUGAGGCACGAAGGCCAGGGGAGCAAACGGG